This 89-nucleotide transfer RNA is filed under the name bacterium. RNAcentral describes it as "tRNA-Leu". It matches the Rfam family "tRNA". From Rfam's summary of the family: Transfer RNA (tRNA) molecules are approximately 80 nucleotides in length. Their secondary structure includes four short double-helical elements and three loops (D, anti-codon, and T loops). The record is from RNAcentral.
GCGGGGGUGCCCGAGCCAGGGCAAAGGGGUCGGACUUAAGAUCCGAUGGCUUAGUGCCGCCCCGGGUUCAAAUCCCGGCCCCCGCACCA